UCCUUCUUCACGUGUUCUUCCAGUACCAUUCAUCACAAAAUGAAAAAAAAAUACACACAUAGAUCUUUAUCUUCUCCUCAUGAAUCUUCAACCAAACUUAAGAAACUUAUCAUCUUCAUCUUCAUAUGCAUUUGCGUUUUCUAGUAUCCCAUUCUUUCCAGAUCUUGUUGUUCUUGAACUUGGGUUGAAGAUUUUUUCAAGAUCUUCUCAAACCAGAUCUAGAAUGUCUUGGAAAAAGUAUCAAUAUUUGCUAAUCUCAGCAAUCGAUGAUGAUGACGGCGACGACCGUCACAGAAAAAACCCGGUUUGCGCCGCCCAUACAGAAGGAUGAAGUUGAGUUUGGAAUGGAACAAGCUUUGAUUAGAGAACCAUUAUUGUCACAGUGCAUUGGGCGAACAGGAAUGGUUUUGUUUCAACAUUGAAUGGGUAAAUUCGACAAAGAAGGAAUGUUAGGAAGAAGAAGAAUGGAC
Molecule: long non-coding RNA, 470 nt
Filed under: Medicago truncatula (barrel medic)
Lineage: Eukaryota; Viridiplantae; Streptophyta; Magnoliopsida; Fabales; Fabaceae
Description: long non-coding RNA (MTRU_LNC001278)
Source: RNAcentral